Molecule: ribosomal RNA, 468 nt
Filed under: uncultured bacterium
Lineage: Bacteria
Description: bacterial SSU rRNA
Rfam family: Bacterial small subunit ribosomal RNA
Source: RNAcentral
GGCCAGACUCCUACGGGAGGCAGCAGUGAGGAAUAUUGGUCAAUGGGCGGAAGCCUGAACCAGCCAAGUCGCGUGAGGGAAGAAGGCCCUGCGGGUCGCAGACCUCUUUGGACGGGGAGCAAGGCCGCCGACGUGUCGGCGGAAGGAGAGUACCCGUAGAACAAGCAUCGGCUAACUCCGUGCCAGCAGCCGCGGUAAUACGGAGGAUGCGAGCGUUAUCCGGAUUCACUGGGUGUAAAGGGAGCGUAGACGGCCAUGCAAGCCAGGGGUGAAAGCCCGGGGCCCAACCCCGGGACUGCCCUUGGAACUGCAUGGCUGGAGUGCGGGAGGGGCAGGCGGAAUUCCUGGUGUAGCGGUGAAAUGCGUAGAUAUCAGGAGGAACACCAGUGGCGAAGGCGGCCUGCUGGACGACAACUGACGGUGAGGCGCGAAAGCGUGGGGAGCAAACAGGAUUAGAUACCCUUGUAA